GUUUGAUCCUGGCUCAGGAUGAACGCUGGCGGCAUGCUUAACACAUGCAAGUUGAACGUAUUCUCAGCCCCUUCGGGGCUGUUUUAUUCGUGGCGAACGGGUGAGUAUCACCUAAGAACCAACCCUUUGGACGAGAAUAACUUUUGGAAACGAAAGCUAAAACUCGAUGAUGUGUUUAUCUGAAAUAUUUAAUUAAUGCCAAAGGACGGGCUUGGGCCUGAUUAGUUUGUUGGUAAGGUAAGAGCUUACCAAGACCACAAUCAGUAGCUGGUCUAAGAGGAUGAUCAGCCACACUGGGACUGAGACACGGCCCAGACCUCUACGGAGGGCAGCAGUGAGGAAUUUUCCGCAAUGGGCGAAAGCCUGACGGAGCAAUGCCGCGUGGAGGAAUGAAGGCUCUUGGGUCGUAAACUCCUUUUCUCAGAAAAGAAAAAAAUGACGAUAUUUGAGGAAAAAGCAUCGGCUAAAUAAAAUUGGCCCUUUAAAGAAGGAAUUCUUUAUAGCAAACUCGGCUAUAACGGUCAAACCCUAACUUUUAGUGGGUAAUACCGUGGGAAGUUUUUGAACUUUUGAACAUAUGGAAUUAACAUUAACAUUGAAAGAACAUUCAAUUAUUUUAGGAACUCUUUUAGGUGAUGGUUUUUUACAAAAGAGAGCUCAAAAAGCUAGACUACGGAUAUGUCAUUCUUAUAAACAAAAACAAUAUGUCGACUGGAAAUAUAAACAACUCCUUACUUUGUGCCAAAGGACAGCUCCUCCUAAAAGUCAACAACGUCCAUUAGGGAAAGCUUAUUCUUUUUCGACACAAUCGGAGAAAAUAUUACUACAAUAUCAUUCUUUAUUUUAUAAAGAAAAUGGUUUGAAAAAAAUUGAUAAUCAGCUUAUUUACUAUAUAAAACAUCCCUUAAGCUUAGCUGUUUGGUGGUUAGAUGACGGUAAUGCCCGUAAAGAUUGUGCUGCUGGUCGAUUAGCUACUUGUGCUUUUAGUUUAGGAGAACAAAAAAUUUUGCAAAAAUUACUUUUGCAAAAUUUUCAAAUUCGAACAAAUAUUGUUCGGAAUUCUAUAAAAAAAAAUAAAGCUCAAUAUUAUUUAUAUAUUCCUAGUCAAGAUUUUUGUCGACUAGUCGCUCUUAUUAAGAUUUAUGUUCAACAAAUUCCUACUAUGGAAUAUAAGUUAGGAAAACCCCGUAACGACUAAAGUUAUCUGCGAUAAACAAUUGGAAUAAAAAGAUUAUUUUAAGAAAUCUGCGAUUCUUUGUUUAUAAUACGCCGAGCUCUAAUUAAUUGAUUAGAUGAUGGUAUAGUCUAUGCUCUAGGUAACUAGAGAACUUACAUGAACUUCGUGCCAGCAGCCGCGGUAAUACGGGGGAUGCAAGCGUUAUCCGGAAUUAUUGGGCGUUAAGGGUCCGAAGGUGGUUUUUGAAGUCUACUGUGAAAGUCCAAAGCUCAACUUUGGGAAGUCAGUAUGAUACUCAAAAACUAGAGAUAGAUAGAGGUAGAGGGAAUUCUCGGUGGAGCGGUGAAAUGCGUAGAUAUCGAGAAGAACACCGGCGGCGAAAGCGCUCUACUGGGUCUAUACUGACACUCAUGGACGAAAGCUAAGGGAGCCAAUAGGAUUAGAUAAAUUCGGCCAAGCUCCAAAAAAAAAAAAGGCCAAAGGUGUCCUGCUAUAUUGUGAGAUAUAGUUUGUAUCUAGCUAUAUCGGGGAAGAGGUAACUCCGCGCCUUUGGCGCUAGACCAUAAUCCCGAGGGAAGUUUUAAACAAACCCCGUAGAGACUAUGAAAUUAAGUAGAUAGAAGAUAUGGUAGAAUUUGUAAAUCUUAGGAAAAAAAAAUUUUCACAAAUAUCUUUGUCAGAUUCUUGUAAAGCAAUUCUGUUAGGUUCUCUUUUAGGUGAUGGAAGUUUAAAAAUUUACAAACCUUAUAAGAAUGCUAGAUUUUGGAUCAGGCAUUCUAUUUCUCAAAAAGAAUAUUACAACUGGAAAAUUAAAGAAUUAAAAGAAAUUGGGACAAAAAAAUCCAAUCAACUCCAAAAACCUAGUGGUUUUAGUCAAAAGAAAAAAUUUCUUUUUCAAAGUGCUGCCAAGGAACAACUUACAGAAAUUUAUAAUAUUACAUAUAGAAAAAAUCGUCUUCGAAUCAGACGAAAAUGGCUCAAUUUUUUAACACCAUUAAGUUUGGCUAUUUGGUGGCUUGAUGAUGGGAGUAUUAUCGAUAAUGGUCGCAGAGGUGUUUUUUGUACAGAUGGAUUUUCAAAAAAAGAACAUGAGACUCUCAAACGUUAUUUUUAUGUUGUCUGGAAAAUUGAAGUUCAUAUAGGUGUUUUAAAAAGAUUUUAUAAUGAACAACAUAAAAACUAUUUUCGUCUUUAUCUAAAUAAUACAUCUUUGAAAAAAUUAUUUCGUAUAAUAAUGCCCCAUAUACCUAUUUCUGAUUAUUUAAUGUCAUCUAUGCUUUAUAAAUUUUGCUUAUUAUACAAAAAUACUGAACUUCAAGAACGCUGGAUUUCUGAGAUGCUUUUUGGUUUUAAUAAUUGCAACGAAAAUCUUAUCCGAGAGACAAUUCAAUUACGGAAAACUCAAUUAAAAAAUUUCAGAAAAUGAUAUAGUCCAUUUCAGAUUGAAAAUUAUCAUUUUUAAUCUUUAUAAUGACCCUAGUAGUCUUAGCUGUAAACGAUGGAGAUUCGGUUUUGGUUUUUUUAUCAGAACUUAAGCUUACGCUUUAAAUCUCCCGCCUGGGGAGUAUGCUCGCAAGAGUGAAACUCAAAGGAAUUGACGGGGGCCCGCACAAGCGGUGGAGCAUGUGGUUUAAUUCGAUGCAACGCGAAGAACCUUACCAGAAUUUGACAGUUCAUUGGCUUUUUCUUGAAAAAGAAUUAGUCCUUUUUGGAACAAUGGAAACAGGUGGUGCAUGGCUGUCGUCAGCUCGUGUCGUAAAUACUUGCGACCUAAAAAAGUGAUUUUUUAGAAAAAUCUGGCUCAUAACGGUAAACCUUAAGGUUUUCUACUAAGGGAAUAUCGUGGGAAGUUUAGAAAGAUAUAUUAAAACAAAAAAAUAAAAAUAAAAAUAAAAAUAAAAAUAAAAAAAUGACAUAUGGAAAUAUAAAUAUUAUUUUCGUGCUUUUAUGUGCAUACAACAAAUUGUUAUUGGCUGUAUUUUAGGAGAUGGGUAUUUAACUAAAUCUGGAUGUUUGCAAAUUGAACAUUCUAUUAAACAAAAAAAAUAUAUUUAUUGGAAAUAUGAUAAAUUGAAAACUAUAGUAAGAAGCGAGCCUGUACAAGUUUCUAGAUAUGAUAAACGUACAGAUCGUAUAUAUUUCAGUUAUCGUUUUUAUACUAAAGCUAUUUUCAAAGAUUUACGUUCUAUUUUUUAUCCUACUGGAAAAAAGAUUAUUCCCUAUAAUAUAGAAAAAAUUCUAAUAUCAAAUCUUGCUUUGGCUAUUCUUUAUAUGGAUGAUGGUGGUCGGGGUGGAAAUACAAAAAAGGGCGUAAUUAUAAAUAUUGCUGGUUAUGAUUUACAAAGUAGAAAACGUUUACAAUUAGCUAUUUUAAAAAUUUAUAAUAUAGAACUCAAUUUACAUAAGAACGGUCAACUUUAUAUUCCAGCAAAGUCAUAUAAUCAUUUUUAUCAAUGUAUUUAUCAUUUUAUUAUACCGUGUAUGCAAUAUAAGCUUUCUAUAACCCCGUAACGACUGAGGAAAUUUCAGAAACUUUUAUUUUUUGAAAAAGUACAAGGCCUAGAUUCUUAUCUUAAUAAGAGUAAGGCCAUACGCCAGCUCUUUUUUUACCUUAUUAAAAAAGAUGAAGGUAUAGUCUAAACUUAUAAGAAAUUAUAAGGUUUAAUGGAGAUGUUGGGUUCAGUCCCGCAACGAGCGCAACCCUUAUCAUUUGUUAUGACUCCUUCGGGGGCUUACUAAUGAAACUGCCAGCCAAAAGCUGGAGGAAGGCGAGGAUGAGGUCAAGUCAGCAUGCCCCUUAUAUUCUGGGCGACACACGUGCUACAAUGGUAGAGACAAAGGGAAGCUUACUUGUAAAAGUUAGCAAAUCCCAAAAACUCUAUCUCAGUUCGGAUUGUCGGCUGCAACUCGCCGACAUGAAGUCGGAAUCGCUAGUAAUCGCCGGUCAGCCAUACGGCGGUGAAUACGUUCCCGGGCCUUGUACACACCGCCCGUCACUCAGGCAAAGUCGGGUGCACCCAAAAUCAAUGAACUCUUAUGAGAAGUUGCCUAAGGUGAAUCUGGUAAUGCCUGAGAAGUCGUAACAAGGUAACCGUACUGGAAGGUGCGGUUGGAUAACCUCCUCA
Molecule: ribosomal RNA, 4302 nt
Filed under: Caulerpa manorensis
Lineage: Eukaryota; Viridiplantae; Chlorophyta; Ulvophyceae; Bryopsidales; Caulerpaceae
Description: small subunit ribosomal RNA
Rfam family: Bacterial small subunit ribosomal RNA (bases 1-1748)
Source: RNAcentral